CAAGUUGAUAAUUGUCUCUUCUCUGCUAAUUUUAAUGUGCAUGCAAUAUUCACUCUGAUUUACUUGUGAGACCACCGACACUAAUAAUAAUUACCUACAAAAUAAUAGGUGCUCCUUCACUGGGAAGGGCAUUUCGGAUCUGAUCAAUUUAUUGGUUCCAUUCCCCCAUUCUACACUUCUCCUCAGAAAAAAUGCCUUGCAAUGCGUCAUAUUUAUCUGGACUACUAACUUACUUCCAUAUAACUUCGAAAACAGACAAUAAUCUAUUUCAUUGGAUGAGAUUGGGCUCACGGAUUUUUUAAUGGAUUGGACAAGAAAUAUAGAAAAAUAAUGAAAAAUAUAAACAGUUACAAUAGAAAUGAGCGCAAAACAAGAUAAACAGAAUACAACAAGGCCUAAAUGGUCAGAUAUCUUGGUUUUUAUGAUCAUCAACAGGUCCUGCAGGUCUAUACUGAAGAGGAAUUUUAAUUGUUAAUACUUUUUUACAUAAUGUGCUAAUUGGAUUACUAAUGUGAAAUGAACUCAACUGUGUGUUUUUCUGGAAAAAGAAAUAGAAAAAAAUCCUACAAAAUUGCUAUAAACAAAAUGGAGUACUAUCAAAGAACACAAUUGUGUAAAAUGUAACAACCUACAUUCAUAUUCACUGAUGGAUUAUGGAGAAAUUAACAAAAAUAAUAGUGUCUUUGUCAUGUUUGUUGUCGAAAUAAACACCUGCUUUAUCCAUUCAUGUACAUGGCUCCAUCAUAUCAAAUAUACAAAGAAGAUGU
This is a long non-coding RNA of Mytilus trossulus (common blue mussel), 767 nucleotides long. RefSeq lists it as uncharacterized. Lineage: Eukaryota; Metazoa; Mollusca; Bivalvia; Mytilida; Mytilidae. The record is from RefSeq and is a predicted model, not a curated record. The transcript is spliced from 3 exons.